RNAcentral lists this ribosomal RNA (474 nucleotides) under Henlea ventriculosa. RNAcentral describes it as "partial 16S ribosomal RNA". It matches the Rfam family "Bacterial large subunit ribosomal RNA", at positions 1816 to 2596 of the family's 2925-position model. The record is from RNAcentral. Lineage: Eukaryota; Metazoa; Annelida; Clitellata; Enchytraeida; Enchytraeidae.
UGCUUUCUGAAUAUAUAGAAAGUAAUCUCCUGCCCAGUGAAUUAUUUAAACGGCCGCGGUACCAUAACCGUGCAAAGGUAGCAUAAUAACUUGCCCAUUAAUUGUGGGCUAGAAUGAAAGGGGUAACGAAAUAAGCCCUGUCUCAAUAAAUUAAAUAUAAACUAAUAUCCAAGUGAAGAAGCUUAGAUAUAAAUAAAGGACAAGAAGACCCUAUAGAGCUUUAUUUAACUUCUAUAAAUAGUAGAAUAAAAUUCGGUUGGGGCGACCAAGGAAAAAUCAUCCUUAUAUUAAAUAGAUAAAUUUAUCUAACCAUAGAUCCUAGUAAGAUCAUUAGAAUUAGCUACCUUAGGGAUAACAGGCUAAUCCUAUUAUAGAGCUCUUAUCAACAAUAGGGAUUGGCACCUCGAUGUUGGCUUAGAAUAUCUGUAUGGCGCAAAAGUCAUAAAUAGAAGGUUUGUUCAACCUAUAAUAUGC